RNAcentral lists this ribosomal RNA (458 nucleotides) under uncultured bacterium. RNAcentral's name for it is "partial 16S ribosomal RNA". It matches the Rfam family "Bacterial small subunit ribosomal RNA", at positions 338 to 795 of the family's 1533-position model. The record is from RNAcentral.
CCUACGAGUGGCAGCAGUGGGGAAUAUUGCACAAUGAGGGAAACCCUGAUGCAGCGACGCCGCGUGAGUGAAGAAGUAAUUCUUUACGUAAAGCUCUAUCAGCAGAGAAGAAACACUGACCUUACGAUCAGCAGACGGUACCUGCGUAAGAAGCCCCGGCUAACUACGUGCCAUCAGCCGCGGUAAUACGUAGGGGGCAAGCGUUAUCCUGAUUUACUGGGUGUAAAGGGAGCGUAGACGGUGCGACCAGUCUGGAGUGAAAUGCCGCAGCUUAACUGCGGUACUGCUGUGGCAACUGGCGAACUAGAGUGCGGGAGGGGUAAGCGGAAUUCCUAGUGUAGCGGUGAAAUGCGUAGAUAUUAGGAGGAACACCGGUGGCGAAGGCGGCUUACUGGACCGUAACUGACGUUGAGGCUCGAAAGCGUGGGGAGCAAACAGGAUUAGAUACCCCAGUAGUC